AUAAUGCCUUGAUGUUUUGUUGAAGGAUUUUUUCUCUUUCAGAUAAAUGCAAUGUGUAGCUUGAGAUAAACCCUUAUUGAGUAUUCCAUCGUUCGGACGCCAACUUAGUUUUGAUCUGUGUAUGCGACUAUUCCAGAGUGGAAAAUGAUACUCUAGUCUGAGAAUAAGCCUAGGAUUCAAACGCGUUACUCCAAGAUGGAUUACAGAGUUAAAUACUUAAAGCAUCUGCAGAAGCAUAAGGCAAGCAGUCUUUGGAAUCUAACAAGAUGGGAGAUUAACUGAUUUCCUAAAUGAGGUGGAUGGGAGAAGGAAAGCAGCUUUGAUAUUUUACGCAGGCUGACUUAUUUAAUUAAAAAGUCACUUAAAAGGAAUUUCAAAAGUCACAUAAUAACCUUUAAAGUUUAUCUUACCCCCAAAAAAAUUUGCUCUCGGACGAAUCUCUUGUUUAAAAUGUCCAAAAUUUCGAUCCAAAUGCAAAAUAAAAAAGCAAAUAUAUUAAAAUUAAAAAUCAAAGCAUUAUCAACUAAAAAUCCCCUUUAAUCUGAUAAAGAGGAUAUAUAUUAUAAUUUUAAAUUACAAGGUCGUUUAAUUAUUAUCUGAUUUUCUUAUUAUUGUUACAAGUUACAACAAGCCAUUAUCGUUAAUUAUAAUUAUGCGUAGAAUAUGAUAAUAAUGCUUAAUUUAAAUCUAAUUAAACCUUAAUUGUUUCCCGGCUUGAAUUUGCAUUCAGACAAAUUUCACCUUUGACUUCGAGUAAACAAACACACAAACAAACACCCAAACACCCCAAACAAAUAAACAAACAACAAAACAAAUGAACGAACAACAAAUUAAAACAGCACCAAAGCUUAACUAUAGACUAAAAAAAUGACUCAAGCUUAUAAAAUCAAAUUCAUAUGGAAAUUCUAAUAAAAAUGUGAAUAAAAAGUCCUUCUAAAGAAAAUUUGAUCUCUAAAAAUGAAAAAGAGACUGUAAGAGAACAUUUAGAUACGGUUAGAGAUCGUUAGAGACGGUUAGAGAUCGUUAGAGACCGUGAGAGAUCGUUAGAGACCGUAAGAGAUCAUUGGUGAACGUGAGAGAUCAUUAGAGACAGUGAGAGAUCGUUAGAGACGGUUAGAGAUCAUUAGAGACCGUGAGAGAUCGCUAGAGACCGUGAGUGAUCGUUAGAGACCGUAAGAGAUCAUUGGUGA
This is a long non-coding RNA of Eurytemora carolleeae, 1190 nucleotides long. RefSeq lists it as uncharacterized. The transcript is spliced from 3 exons. The record is from RefSeq and is a predicted model, not a curated record. Lineage: Eukaryota; Metazoa; Arthropoda; Copepoda; Calanoida; Temoridae.